GAUAAUCAGGUGUACCGUCUCGUAUUUUACC
RNAcentral lists this small RNA (31 nucleotides) under Arabidopsis thaliana (thale cress). RNAcentral describes it as "ATSL179740". The record is from RNAcentral. Lineage: Eukaryota; Viridiplantae; Streptophyta; Magnoliopsida; Brassicales; Brassicaceae.